RNAcentral lists this transfer RNA (64 nucleotides) under Spilomantis occipitalis. RNAcentral describes it as "tRNA-Asn". Lineage: Eukaryota; Metazoa; Arthropoda; Insecta; Mantodea; Gonypetidae. The record is from RNAcentral.
UUAGUUGAAACCAAAAAGAGGUUUACCACUGUUAAUGGUACUAUUGAAUUUAUUUCCAUCUAAG